GUGAACGCUGGCGGUAGGCCUAACACAUGCAAGUCGCGCGGCAGCACAGUAAGAGCUUGCUCUUACGGGUGGCGAGUGGCGGACGGGUGAGGAAUACAUCGGAAUCUACUUUUUCGUGGGGGAUAACGUAGGGAAACUUACGCUAAUACCGCAUACGACCUACGGGUGAAAGCAGGGGAUCUUCGGACCUUGCGCGAUUGAAUGAGCCGAUGUCGGAUUAGCUAGUUGGCGGGGUAAAGGCCCACCAAGGCGACGAUCCGUAGCUGGUCUGAGAGGAUGAUCAGCCACACUGGAACUGAGACACGGUCCAGACUCCUACGGGAGGCAGCAGUGGGGAAUAUUGGACAAUGAGCGCAAGCCUGAUCCAGCCAUACCGCGUGGGUGAAGAAGGCCUUCGGGUUGUAAAGCCCUUUUGUUGGGAAAGAAAAGCAGCAGGUUAAUACCCCGCUGUUCUGACGGUACCCAAAGAAUAAGCACCGGCUAACUUCGUG
RNAcentral lists this ribosomal RNA (491 nucleotides) under uncultured bacterium. RNAcentral describes it as "partial 16S ribosomal RNA". It matches the Rfam family "Bacterial small subunit ribosomal RNA", at positions 29 to 507 of the family's 1533-position model. The record is from RNAcentral.